GUGCCAGCAGCCGCGGUAAUACGGAGGGUGCAAGCGUUGUUCGGAAUUAUUGGGCGUAAAGGGCGUGUAGGUGGCUCGCCAAGUCUGGUGUGAAAGCCCACGGCUCAACCGUGGAACUGCAUUGGAAACUGGCGAGCUCGAGUAUUGGAGGGGGUCGCGGAAUUCCCGGUGUAGAGGUGAAAUUCGUAGAUAUCGGGAGGAACACCAGUGGCGAAGGCGGCGACCUGGCCAUUCACUGACACUGAGACGCGAAAGCGUGGGGAGCAAACAGGAUUAGAAACCCCAGUAGUCC
RNAcentral lists this ribosomal RNA (292 nucleotides) under uncultured bacterium. Its description in RNAcentral is "partial 16S ribosomal RNA". It matches the Rfam family "Bacterial small subunit ribosomal RNA", at positions 505 to 796 of the family's 1533-position model. The record is from RNAcentral.